GAGACGGGAAACUUCUCGCUCUCUCCGACUCCGACACCGCCACCAGGCCGAACGCGACGGCGAUUGGCGUGCCGUGGCCGCCGUCGUCCUCCGCCACCGCCUCCUCCUUCGCCUCCUCCUCCUCCUCCUCCUCCUCCUUUUUCCCCUUUCCUCCGGCGGCGGCGGCGUGGGCACCAGGCGACGGCGAGGCUUCCAGAUGGCGCGGCAACGCAGGUGAGGCCCGACGACCUCCUCCCUCUCCUCCAUCCUUCGUGCGGCCUCCUCGGUGCCUCCUCCUGUCGGGACGCCUUCACUCCUCCUGUGGCCGAAACCCUAGCUGGCCAAACCCUAAGCUUGGUAUGCUGGCGCAGCAGGAGGGCCAAGCUUGGCGGCGACCGGCGCGAUGGUGCUCCCCUCUCUGUUUCCUCUCUCCUUCUCCCCUUCUGUACCCUCCACAGGGCUCCUCGAUGCCGCGGCCGUCGGAGACCGUGAGCUCCUCAGCUUAGCGAAACCCUAAGCACUAUGUCGGGCCUCGAUCUAUUUUCCUAUUUGCCUGAUGUCAAUUGCCGGCAGGCUGCAGGCUGCACGCGUCGUGCUGCAAGCAGUGGCUAUAGACUGCCAUGUCGAGUUCACCUAAUGCCUUUGGUAUAUUAAUAUGUUUUAUGCACAUAGUUGUUUUUUGGGUUCCAUCCAAAACUAACAGUGAUGCAAUCUUUUUCCUUUCUCUACUACAUCUUCUAAGAUCAUGCAGGAUACUGAAAGGUAUUUAGAGCUAUUUUUUAAUACGACACAAUCUACCGUGUUGCCGCCAUGUGUUAUGCUCUUGAUGCUAAAUAAAUAGGUGUCUACAUAUUGGGACACAUCUAGCAAGACUCAUUAUCAAUCUGGCUGCUCGACUUAUGGAUAUAGGCUGCUCCUAUGGGCCUACAUUCAGGGCUACAACACAGAUCGUCCAUCAGCCCUUGUUUGAUACUUUAUGCUGAUUUUUGAUCCUCGGCAAUUCCUCAGCUAUCUUCUUAUUUGUUCUUUAGUUAAAGGGUGGCGUUCCCUGUCAACACAACCACUAAUAUGACGAUCUUGAUGUUUUUUUUCGCCGUUGAUGGGUCUGAGUUGGGAGGACUGCUGCACCCAUGAAGGCCUCAUUAUUUUUAGAGGCUUUGGCAUCUGCCUACAACCACGGUCGCUCAGCAUGUCUUAGUCGUUGGUGGAAUUUGGCAGCAAGCCCAAGAUCUUGCAUCAGCUUCCUGGGCGUGCGAAGGUGCGUCCAUUCUACUAAACACGUCACGGUAAUGAAACUACUUCGGAACUCAGAGAAUCAUCAAACCACAUUUCAGAUUAUGAUGUUACACCACAACGCAAUUCUGAUGGCUACGAACCAGGUUGGGAAUUAUACCGCAGUUACUGCAAAGCAGACUAAGCAAUCUUACCUUCGGCACCACAUGAACGGAAAAAAAGGGAAAAAAAUCCAAUGUGAUGCCAACCUUUUGUAACAGCAAUAUCACGCAGUGAACAAAGUCCACUCAUACUUACUAAAUUUUCUAAUGUACUACAUCUAUAGCCUAUCCCUCACAGAAGUACUCUAUGUCAUGUAUACUUAUGUGAUCUCCCCACUUAUGUCUUACCGUGAUGUAUAUUCCCUUCUACUAUCCGACAUAUAUAUUUCUAAAGUCCAUUCUUAUUAAUCUUAACCUAUACUUAGUCCGCACUGGCGCGCAAGGGCGCG
Molecule: long non-coding RNA, 1702 nt
Organism: Sorghum bicolor (sorghum)
Lineage: Eukaryota; Viridiplantae; Streptophyta; Magnoliopsida; Poales; Poaceae
Exons: 9
Source: RefSeq, a predicted model, not a curated record